GAUGAACGCUGGCGGCGUGCCUAAUACAUGCAAGUCGAGCGAACAGACGAGGAGCUUGCUCCUCUGACGUUAGCGGCGGACGGGUGAGUAACACGUGGAUAACCUACCUAUAAGACUGGGAUAACUUCGGGAAACCGGAGCUAAUACCGGAUAAUAUAUUGAACCGCAUGGUUCAAUAGUGAAAGACGGUUUUGCUGUCACUUAUAGAUGGAUCCGCGCCGCAUUAGCUAGUUGGUAAGGUAACGGCUUACCAAGGCAACGAUGCGUAGCCGACCUGAGAGGGUGAUCGGCCACACUGGAACUGAGACACGGUCCAGACUCCUAAGGGAGGCAGCAGUAGGGAAUCUUCCGCAAUGGGCGAAAGCCUGACGGAGCAACGCCGCGUGAGUGAUGAAGGUCUUCGGAUCGUAAAACUCUGUUAUUGGGGAAGAACAAAUGUGUAAGUAACUAUGCACGUCUUGACGGUACCUAAUCAGAAAGCCACGGCUAACUACGUG
Molecule: ribosomal RNA, 497 nt
Filed under: uncultured bacterium
Lineage: Bacteria
Description: partial 16S ribosomal RNA
Rfam family: Bacterial small subunit ribosomal RNA
Source: RNAcentral